This 492-nucleotide ribosomal RNA is filed under the name uncultured bacterium. RNAcentral describes it as "partial 16S ribosomal RNA". It matches the Rfam family "Bacterial small subunit ribosomal RNA", at positions 29 to 507 of the family's 1533-position model. The record is from RNAcentral.
AGUGAACGCUGGCGGUAGGCCUAACACAUGCAAGUCGAACGGCAGCACAGUAAGAGCUUGCUCUUACGGGUGGCGAGUGGCGGACGGGUGAGGAAUACAUCGUAAUCUACUUUUUCGUGGGGGAUAACGUAGGGAAACUUACGCUAAUACCGCAUACGACCUACGGGUGAAAGCAGGGGAUCUUCGCACCUUGCGCGAUUGAAUGAGCCGAUGUCGGAUUAGCUAGUUGGCGGGGUAAAGGCCCACCAAGGCGACGAUUCGUAGCUGGUCUGAGAGGAUGAUAGGCCACACUGGAACUGAAACACGGUCCAGACUCCUAAGGGAGGCAGCAGUGGGGAAUAUUGGACAAUGGGCGCAAGCCUGAUCCAGCCAUACCGCGUGGGUGAAGAAGGCCUUCGGGUUGUAAAGCCCUUUUGUUGGGAAAGAACAGCAGCAGGUUAAUACCCCGCUGUUCUGACGGUACCCAAAGAAUAAGCACCGGCUAACUUCGUG